This 73-nucleotide transfer RNA is filed under the name Bacteroidales bacterium. RNAcentral's name for it is "tRNA-Trp". It matches the Rfam family "tRNA". Rfam says of the family: Transfer RNA (tRNA) molecules are approximately 80 nucleotides in length. Their secondary structure includes four short double-helical elements and three loops (D, anti-codon, and T loops). Lineage: Bacteria; Pseudomonadati; Bacteroidota; Bacteroidia; Bacteroidales. The record is from RNAcentral.
GCGGGUGUAGCUCAAUUGGUAGAGUAGUGGUCUCCAAAACCAUUGGUUGGGAGUUCGAGCCUUCCCGCCCGCG